ACCCAACUGACGAGUCUUAAAUAGGACGAAACGAGUGUCUUGGAU
RNAcentral lists this non-coding RNA (45 nucleotides) under Schistosoma margrebowiei. Lineage: Eukaryota; Metazoa; Platyhelminthes; Trematoda; Strigeidida; Schistosomatidae. The record is from RNAcentral.